UAGCGAGAAAGUUGCUAAAAGAAGAAGAGAGCAUCGAGUGCUUGAGCGGUUUAAAUAUGUACGAACUGCUUAAACUUAAGAGUUUGUUCUCGUUAAGUUUUUUCAUAAACCUGACUUUUAGUCCUGUUAGGAAACUGUCCGUCGUCUUCACACCUCUGAGGCAAAUGGCAGUCGCCACGAACUGGAGCAAGGCCUGAGCUCCCCCCACAACGAGGCAGUCACUGCACAUUUUGCCGAAGCUCUCGCUGCAAGUCCGGAUUUGCAGUGUGGAAAAUGACGCCAUUGAAUCUGCCUGUAAGACGUACUAUGAUGUACUAAGACAUACUAUGAGCCAGUAUGAAGGAACUUCCGUUACAUCCAACCGGACCUUGCAGCCGCAUUGAAAGUUAAGGAGUAGACAGAGAAGAAAGAGGAAGUCUCACCAGGUCAAAUUUCCAUCACAUUGGGUUUACAGCUGAUUGAAGUGGGACAGAUGACAUGGAUCCAUCCUUCCACAGCCAGGAGCUCACCGACCUGUCUGCCACACGUCAAAGAAGACUAGAAGCUACACUUAAUCUCACAGCUACACACCAUAGACAUCUACACACUGGAGCAGAUUCGGACAGAGUGCCACCAAAAACUUAUGACCCAGAGGCGGCAAAGAGACAUUUCACCUGUGAAAAACCUGCCUUUUUUAUUUCCAUAGCUGUCUUCCCCAAUCUCGGCAUCACAGCAUGCUAUUAGCUAAAUUGCAAUUGUUGGUGUGAUGUAUUCAGCAUUUUUUGGUGCUGUUUCAAGAUGGUGUUUAAGUGUGGUGUUGAAUGAGGAUUUCCAGGUAAGGAAAUGACUGAAGUUGCCAUCUUCGUUUUCACCAGUCCAGCUCCCACGCAGUGCUAUGUUCCUCUUAGAAAGUUGGAUAAUAACAUCUAAGAUGGAAAGGAGAAUGUUGCGACCUUCUCUUCAUAUGCUUUGUUUAGCACAGAAUUAAUCUUAAUAGUCUCUGUGCCUUCAACAUUGCAUUAUUCAUGCAAUGUUGUAUGCAUCCUCUUCUCUUUGUUCUCUCUCAUCCUCUGUAUUCACUGCCUGUCCCUUUCUUUGUGACUUCCCACUCCUGCCAAGUGUACCAAAGAUAAUUAAGGAAAAUAAUAUCCACCUUCUUUAUUUCAUCUUUGUGUUUGAGUUUGCAUCAUUUUGUAUUUGAAUUAUAGAAACGUUUCUCAAAAAGUGCAUCAACAUAAGCAAAAUGUGGUAUACAAUAAAUACUAUAUUAUUAUA
Long non-coding RNA from Hippoglossus stenolepis (Pacific halibut), 1254 nucleotides. RefSeq lists it as uncharacterized. NCBI's taxonomy places the organism in Eukaryota, Metazoa, Chordata, Actinopteri, Pleuronectiformes, Pleuronectidae. The transcript is spliced from 4 exons. The record is from RefSeq and is a predicted model, not a curated record.